CAGCUCGCUGAAUCCAGGAGCAGCCCCGGGAUCAUUGUGACCUCACAGUUCAGACAGCAUCGGUCCCCUGUGGGGGCCACCUUUCCAGCCCCUCCUCCCAGCAGAGGAUCCCAGUGCCCUCCUGGCCUGAAGGCCCUGCAGGCCUGGCCUUCCCAACUUCCUCUCUGCCCUUGUCCCCCGUCGUCCCUCUAGUUGGCCUGGCCCUCCCAACUUCCUCUCUGCCCUUGUCCCCCGUCGUCCCCCUAGUUGGCCUGGCCCUCCCAACCUCCUCUCUGCCCUUGUCCCCCGUCGUCCCCCUAGCUGGAGGGUGCCCCAGCCUGGCUGACCUCAGUUCUUGUCCCCAGCACACACAACUCUUCCCAGCCUCAAGGCCUUCACCUGGCUGUGCCGCUGCCUGCAAUGUUCCUCCCCAGUCUUGUCAGGGCUGGCUCCUGGGGAGAAGAUCUCUGCUCAGAUGUCACUUCCCCGGAAGGGCCUUCCACGGCCACCCACGUCGUGUCUCCCCACGCCUGCCCCCACACUCGCUAGCCCGCCGUCCCCUCUUCCUGCUUCCGUCCUCCACAGCAGUCAUCACCAUCUGAUAUUCCUGUGUAUGCAUCGGUUUGCCUUUCUGGCUCCUGGUUUUGCUCUGCCUCCCCGCUGGAAGACGUGAGGCCCGGAGUGUACAGCCAAUGGUUGUCACACACAGUAUCCCCCCAAGAGAAACCUGCAGCCCAGCAGCUCGGCUGCAGUACAGAGACCCCCAACCUGGCAGAGGCCUUGACACAAAACAGUUUUGCACCAAAUGAUGCAUACGUGAAGGCACAAUGAAGUGAACAGCAAGCGUUCAAGGAAAAGGCCUUGCAUGGC
This 849-nucleotide long non-coding RNA is filed under the name Homo sapiens (human). Its description in RNAcentral is "HSALNT0363605". The record is from RNAcentral. Lineage: Eukaryota; Metazoa; Chordata; Mammalia; Primates; Hominidae.